GUGCUGCAUGGCUGUCGUCAGCUCGUGUCGUGAGAUGUUGGGUUAAGUCCCGCAACGAGCGCAACCCUCGCCCUUAGUUGCCAGCAUUUGGUUGGGCACUCUAGGGGGACUGCCGGUGAUAAGCCGAGAGGAAGGUGGGGAUGACGUCAAGUCCUCAUGGCCCUUACGGGCUGGGCUACACACGUGCUACAAUGGUGGUGACAGUGGGCAGCGAGACCGCGAGGUCGAG
RNAcentral lists this ribosomal RNA (229 nucleotides) under Bartonella henselae. RNAcentral describes it as "partial 16S ribosomal RNA". It matches the Rfam family "Bacterial small subunit ribosomal RNA", at positions 1038 to 1267 of the family's 1533-position model. The record is from RNAcentral. Lineage: Bacteria; Pseudomonadati; Pseudomonadota; Alphaproteobacteria; Hyphomicrobiales; Bartonellaceae.